GGGCAGCACGGGCAGCAAUGCCUGGUGGCGACCGGCGCACGGGUGCGUAACGCGUAUGGAACCUGCCCCCCGCCGGGGGAUAGCCCGCCGAAAGGCGGAUUAAUACCCCAUGGACCCUGACCCCCGCAUGGGGCGUCAGGGUAAAGCUACGGCGGCGGGGGAUGGCCAUGCGUGCCAUUAGCUGGUUGGCGGGGUAACGGCCCACCAAGGCGACGAUGGCUAGGGGGUCUGAGAGGAUGGUCCCCCACACUGGUACUGAGACACGGACCAGACUCCUACGGGAGGCAGCAGUGAGGAAUAUUGGUCAAUGGGCGGAAGCCUGAACCAGCCAUGCCGCGUGCAGGAUGACGGCCCUACGGGUUGUAAACUGCUUUUGCGCGGGAAGAAUAACCCCCUCGUGAGGGGGGACGCCGGUACCGCGCGAAUAAGGAUCGGCUAACUCCGUGCCAGCAGCCGCGGUAAUACGGAGGAUCCGAGCGUUAUCCGGAUUUACUGGGUUUAAGGGGUGCGUAGGCGGGCGCCUAAGUCAGCGGUGAAAGGCAGCGGCUCAACCGUUGGAAUGCCGUUGAGACUGGGCGCCUUGGAUUCGGUCGGGGCCGGCGGAAUGCGUGGUGUAGCGGUGAAAUGCUUAGAUAUCACGCGGAACGCCGAUCGCGAAGGCAGCUGGCCAGGCCGAGAUCGACGCUGAUGCACGAAAGCGUGGGGAUCAAACAGGAUUAGAUACCCUGGUAGUCCACGCCGUAAACGAUGAUCACUGGAUGCCGGCGACGCGCAGUCGGCGUCUGAGCGAGAGCAUUAA
This 799-nucleotide ribosomal RNA is filed under the name uncultured bacterium. RNAcentral describes it as "bacterial SSU rRNA". It matches the Rfam family "Bacterial small subunit ribosomal RNA", at positions 67 to 863 of the family's 1533-position model. The record is from RNAcentral.